UUUAGAUGGCGACCGGCGCACGGGUGAGUAACACGUAUCCAACCUGCCGAUGACUCGGGGAUAGCCUUUCGAAAGAAAGAUUAAUACCCGAUGGCAUAGUUCUUCCGCAUGGUAGAACUAUUUAAAGAAUUUCGGUCAUCGAUGGGGAUGCGUUCCAUUAGGUUGUUGGCGGGGUAACGGCCCACCAAGCCUUCGAUGGAUAGGGGUUCUGAGAGGAAGGUCCCCCACAUUGGAACUGAGACACGGUCCAA
Molecule: ribosomal RNA, 251 nt
Filed under: uncultured bacterium
Lineage: Bacteria
Description: partial 16S ribosomal RNA
Rfam family: Bacterial small subunit ribosomal RNA
Source: RNAcentral